AUUGGUUCCAAUUGUGUUAGGACUUUAACAUGAUCCUUUGAGAGCGGGUGGUCCUCUCCUCCACCGCCACCCCCAGGCUUUAGUGUUUUUUACAUUGCAAAGGUUUAGGUUGUCUUUUGUAACAGGAUGGAAAAAUUCAUGAGAGGUAACAAGCUUGUUGCCUCAGUCAUGAGACAAUGAGCUAACCCAAACUGAGUAUUAGAUUUAGGGCAGAAAAGAUGGCGCUCCCAUACACCUUAUUUCCAUCCUUUCUUUCCUAAAUAAUGCUUAAGGAAACCAUGCUAGGGUUAACACGGGAGGAGAGGAGGAACAACCAAGGUGAAUCCGCACUAGGCAGAGAGAAGAGAGUGCCUGCCUUCCGAAAAAAGGCUCCUUCACUGCGCGUGCGCCCGCUUCACGGCGGACACAGGCGCCUGUAAUAAUGUUCAUUGCUUACGUAGUAAACGUGCGUCAGCGGGCCGGACCCAGGACGCAUGCGCAGAAGCGCAGUGCCCAAAUGAUUCUGCAAGGCACUGACUUCUUAUGUGAACGGGAGUCAGAAAAACCAGAGAGCUCCAAACUAAGCUUCUGCACGGACAGAGCACGGGAGAAAAUGGAACUACAAUUGGAGGGGCUGCCGAGUUCAACCACUACAGAAGAUAACACUUUGAGGCGAUCCAGCAGCGCCCCUUUGAUCAGUGGCCUUGGAAGAACAACGAGGUACAGAAACCAUCUUCUGCAAACUGCACUGAUUUAAUUCCAGCAUCUGCAGCAGCUUCUCUCACCGAGGUGACUGGCAAGAAGAAGUCAAAGUGCCGCCAGUACUAUUAGAUCAAGUGUCCUUGGCCCAUUAAAAGGAAAAGGUACUUUUAUCUACCAACAGAAAUAAGUAUAACUUAUUAUUUUUGUAAGAUAUCAUAUAAAAUCAAGUAUUAUACAUAAAUUCAUUUAAAAGGAUUUAUUUAUUUAAAAUAUAUUUGA
Molecule: long non-coding RNA, 960 nt
Filed under: Capra hircus (goat)
Lineage: Eukaryota; Metazoa; Chordata; Mammalia; Artiodactyla; Bovidae
Description: lncRNA (ENSCHIG00000003943.1)
Source: RNAcentral